AUUGAACGCUGGCGGCAUGCCUUACACAUGCAAGUCGAACGGCAGCACGGGAGCAAUCCUGGUGGCGAGUGGCGAACGGGUGAGUAAUGUAUCGGAACGUGCCCAGUCGUGGGGGAUAACGUAGCGAAAGCUACGCUAAUACCGCAUACGAUCUAUGGAUGAAAGCGGGGGAUCGCAAGACCUUGCGCGAUUGGAUCGGCCGAUAUCAGAUUAGGUAGUUGGUGGGGUAAAGGCUCACCAAGCCGACGAUCUGUAGCUGGUCUGAGAGGACGACCAGCCACACUGGGACUGAGACACGGCCCAGACUCCUACGGGAGGCAGCAGUGGGGAAUUUUGGACAAUGGACGCAAGCCUGAUCCAGCAAUGCCGCGUGCAGGAUGAAGGCCUUCGGGUUGUAAACUGCUUUUGUACGGAACGAAACGGCGAGCUCUAAUACAGUUUGCUAAUGACGGUACCGUAAGAAUAAGCACCGGCUAACUUCGUGCCAGCCGCCGCCGUAA
This 500-nucleotide ribosomal RNA is filed under the name uncultured bacterium. RNAcentral's name for it is "partial 16S ribosomal RNA". It matches the Rfam family "Bacterial small subunit ribosomal RNA", at positions 30 to 523 of the family's 1533-position model. The record is from RNAcentral.